RNAcentral lists this ribosomal RNA (421 nucleotides) under uncultured bacterium. RNAcentral's name for it is "bacterial SSU rRNA". It matches the Rfam family "Bacterial small subunit ribosomal RNA", at positions 212 to 650 of the family's 1533-position model. The record is from RNAcentral.
AUUUCGGUAUGGGAUGGGGAUGCGUUCCAUUAGUUAGUUGGCGGGGUAACGGCCCACCAAGACAACGAUGGAUAGGGGUUCUGAGAGGAAGGUCCCCCACAUUGGAACUGAGACACGGUCCAAACUCCUACGGGAGGCAGCAGUGAGGAAUAUUGCACAAUGGGGGAAACCCUGAUGCAGCAAUGCCGCGUGGGUGAAGAAGCACUCCGGUGCGUAAAGCCCUGUCAGCAGGGAAGAAAAUGACAGUACCUGACUAAGAAGCCCCGGCUAACUACGUGCCAGCAGCCGCGGUAAUACGUAGGGGGCAAGCGUUAUCCGGAUUUACUGGGUGUAAAGGGAGCGUAGACGGCAGCACAUGUCUGGAGUGAAAUCCCGGGGCUUAACCCCGGAACUGCUUUGGAAACUGUGCGGCUGGAGUGCA